AACGCAUAUUGCGCCCUUUGGCAUUCCGAAGGGCAUGCCUGUUCGAGCGUCAUUACACCCCUCAAACUUGAUUGUUUGAUGUUGGGUAGUGCCUGUGGGCAUACCUAAAAGUCAGCGACGGUUUCAGCCAACCUCAGACGUACAAGUAUCGUUAUCGUGGGCGGUUGAGGCCUGUCCUUUAAUUAAAUAUCUAAAUGUUGACCUCGGAUCAGGUAGGAAUACCCGCUGAACUUAA
This 235-nucleotide unclassified non-coding RNA is filed under the name uncultured fungus. RNAcentral's name for it is "partial contains 5.8S ribosomal RNA, internal transcribed spacer 2, and large subunit ribosomal RNA". Lineage: Eukaryota; Fungi. The record is from RNAcentral.